AACGAACGCUGGCGGCAGGCUUAAUACAUGCAAGUCGAACGCACCUUUCGGGGUGAGUGGCAGACGGGUGAGUAACGCGUGGGAAUCUACCCUUCUCUACGGGAUAGCUCCGGGAAACUGGAAUUAAUACCGUAUACGUCCUGAGGGAGAAAGAUUUAUCGGGGAAGGAUGAGCCCGCGUUGGAUUAGCUAGUUGGUGGGGUAAAGGCCUACCAAGGCGACGAUCCAUAGCUGGUCUAAGAGGAUGAUCCGCCACAUUGGGACUGAGACACGGCCCAAACUCCUACGGGAGGCAGCAGUGGGGAAUAUUGGACAAUGGGCGCAAGCCUGAUCCAGCCAUGCCGCGUGAGUGAUGAAGGCCCUAGGGUUGUAAAGCUCUUUCAGUGGGGACGAUAAUGACGGUACCCACAGAAGAAGCCCCGGCUAACUUCGUGCCAGCCGCCGCAGUAA
RNAcentral lists this ribosomal RNA (449 nucleotides) under uncultured bacterium. RNAcentral's name for it is "partial 16S ribosomal RNA". It matches the Rfam family "Bacterial small subunit ribosomal RNA", at positions 29 to 523 of the family's 1533-position model. The record is from RNAcentral.